Pelobates cultripes (western spadefoot toad) is the source of this 636-nucleotide non-coding RNA. The record is from the annotation of a GenBank genome assembly. Lineage: Eukaryota; Metazoa; Chordata; Amphibia; Anura; Pelobatidae.
GGAGUCAUCACUGUAUGCUUUACGUUAUAAGGCUUACUACCUUGCGUUCCAUGUUCGGAGGAGUCAUCAUCACAUAUUCCAUGUUGGUGCAGUCAUCACUGUAUGUCCCAUGGUAGGAGAAGUCACUGUAAACUGCAUGUAAUGAGGAGUCAUUAUGCUAGACCGCAGGAGGCAUUAUUGCACCAUCUCAUAUUAGUCAGGAGCAAACAGCACUGCUUUGUCCAGUGGAGACAGGAGGAGACAUCACCACACCAUCCAAUUAACAAAACAAGAAGUUAUCAGUGCACAUCCCACAUUAGGAAUCAUCACUGUACUUUUGCAGUAGGAGUCAUCACUGCACCUUCAUAUAUGACAAGACAUUCCAUUCCAUAUUGGGAUGAUUCAUCACAGCUUUUUUGCAUCUCGAACAGGAAGACGUGUUACUGUAUGUGUGUUAGACAUAAGGAGGUGUUAUUACACAAUUCCAUGACAGACCAUAUUAGAUGUCACAGCACUUUUCCAAGUUAGACAAGCGAGGACAUUGUGGAACUGCCCCAUCUCAGAUCUUCAAAGUGCUGAAUGUAUUUUAUUUUUUUUAAAAUGUUUUUGAAUUUGCAUUGCUGGUUCAGUGCAUAUGUCAAUAUUUCUUCCUUGUCC